UGUGCUACAAAUUUAAAUGCUGUGUUAUUUGUAUCACUAAACACAUAGGUUGAUUUUAAUGAUGCAAAUUAAAUUAACAAAACUAACAAAAUAAAUUAUAAGAGGUGUUGCUUGUCCGUGAGUUCAUCUAUAACAAAAAUGUAACGGAAUGUGCACAGCUUUUUUUUU
This 168-nucleotide non-coding RNA is filed under the name Chromoteleia sp. ZL-2020. The record is from RNAcentral. Lineage: Eukaryota; Metazoa; Arthropoda; Insecta; Hymenoptera; Scelionidae.